Oryza rufipogon (brownbeard rice) is the source of this 205-nucleotide microRNA precursor. It matches the Rfam family "MIR812 microRNA precursor family". The record is from Rfam. Lineage: Eukaryota; Viridiplantae; Streptophyta; Magnoliopsida; Poales; Poaceae.
UUUACUUGACACCGUUGACUUUUUAGCACAUGUUUGACCGCUCGUCUUAUUCAAAAAAUUUAAAUAAUUAUUAAUUAUUUUCCUAUCAUUUGAUUCAUUGUUAAAUAUACUUUUAUGCACACGUAUAGUUUUACAUAUUUCACAAAAGUUUUUAAAUAAGACGAACGGUCAAACAUGUGCUAAAAAGUCAACGGUGUCAAAUAAA